GCGCCAGUAGCUCAGCUGGAUAGAGCAGCGGCCUUCUAAGCCGUGGGUCGAGGGUUCGAUUCCUUCCUGGCGCGCCA
This 77-nucleotide transfer RNA is filed under the name Pseudomonadota bacterium. RNAcentral's name for it is "tRNA-Arg". It matches the Rfam family "tRNA". Rfam says of the family: Transfer RNA (tRNA) molecules are approximately 80 nucleotides in length. Their secondary structure includes four short double-helical elements and three loops (D, anti-codon, and T loops). Lineage: Bacteria; Pseudomonadati; Pseudomonadota. The record is from RNAcentral.